GUCAACGUCCUGCAAGAAAGAAAAGGCAAGAACGUCAGCGAUGGCUCCACUGACUGAUUAAGGCAAAGGAAGUCGCCACUAUGCCCUGGAUCUGUUCCUGAAGGAUUACAGCAUGAAGAAAAAUAAUCCCCAGAAUAACAUACGUGUGACAGACCAGGAUUCAGCCCACAGCCUGGAGCCAAGACACCAUCCGACCCAGAUGAACCUGCGUGGAUCACCUGAGCCACUAGUGACCCAGAGAUCCUGAGAGUGAAAAACAUGCAUGGUCCUAUACACCACUGAGUUUUGGGAUGACUUGUUACUUAGCACUAUUAUGACAAUUGCUGACUAAUAUACCAGGCUCCUGGAAGAUUUGUUGUGAGGUUCUCAUAAAAUGAUGAAUGUGAAAUUGCAUUGUAAGCUGCUUUUAAAAAAGGUACUUAGCUGGAGUGAAAGCUCUACAAAGGCAGAAAUUGUUUUGCUACUGUAACUAGAUGAGUUCCUGGAAUAAAAUAGUAGCUCAAUAAAUACCAUAUUAAUUGAA
Molecule: long non-coding RNA, 523 nt
Organism: Homo sapiens (human)
Lineage: Eukaryota; Metazoa; Chordata; Mammalia; Primates; Hominidae
Exons: 3
Source: RefSeq, marked validated